GACGAACGCUGGCGGCGUGCUUAACACAUGCCAGUCGAACGGAAAGGCCCUGCUUUUGUGGGGUGCUCGAGUGGCGAACGGGUGAGUAACACGUGAGUAACCUGCCCUUGACUUUGGGAUAACUUCAGGAAACUGGGGCUAAUACCGGAUAGGAGCUCCUGCUGCAUGGUGGGGGUUGGAAAGUUUCGGCGGUUGGGGAUGGACUCGCGGCUUAUCAGCUUGUUGGUGGGGUAGUGGCUUACCAAGGCUUUGACGGGUAGCCGGCCUGAGAGGGUGACCGGCCACAUUGGGACUGAGAUACGGCCCAGACUCCUACGGGAGGUAGCAGUGGGGAAUAUUGCACAAUGGGCGGAAGCCUGAUGCAGCAACGCCGCGUGCGGGAUGACGGCCUUCGGGUUGUAAACCGCUUUCGCCUGUGACGAAGCGUGAGUGACGGUAAUGGGUAAAGAAGCACCGGCUAGCUACGUG
RNAcentral lists this ribosomal RNA (468 nucleotides) under uncultured bacterium. Its description in RNAcentral is "partial 16S ribosomal RNA". It matches the Rfam family "Bacterial small subunit ribosomal RNA", at positions 28 to 507 of the family's 1533-position model. The record is from RNAcentral.